UACCAGCUCUCCGAGUUGUAGGGAUGAUUAUUGGGCUUAAAGCGUCCGUAGCUGGCUUAGCAAGUCUCCUGUUAAAUUCAGCGACCUAAUCGUUGAGCCGCGGGAGAUACUACUAGGCUAGGAGGCGGGAGAGGUCGACGGUACUUUCGGGGUAGGGGUGAAAUCCUAUAAUCCCGGGAGGACCACCAGUGGCGAAGGCUGUCGACUAGAACGCGCUCGACGGUGAGGGACGAAAGCUGGGGGAGCGAACCGGAUUAGAUACCCGGGUAGUCCCAGCUGUAAACUAUGCGGGCUAGGUGUUGGGGUGGCUACGGGCCACCUCAGUGCCGCAGGAAAGCCAUUAAGCCCGCCGCCUGGGGAGUACGGCCGCAAGGCUGAAACUUAAAGGAAUUGGCAGGGGGAGCACCACAAGGCGUGAAGCUUGCGGUUC
Molecule: ribosomal RNA, 430 nt
Filed under: uncultured archaeon
Lineage: Archaea
Description: bacterial SSU rRNA
Rfam family: Archaeal small subunit ribosomal RNA
Source: RNAcentral